CAAAUACUCCCUCCAUCCGGAAAUACUUGUCAUCAAAAUGGAUAAAAGGAAAUGUAUCUAGACGUAUUUUAGUUUUCGAUAUAUCUCUUUUUAUCCAUUUUGAUGACAAGUAUUUUCGGACGGAGGGAGUAGAAA
This is a non-coding RNA of Triticum aestivum (bread wheat), 135 nucleotides long. The record is from Rfam. NCBI's taxonomy places the organism in Eukaryota, Viridiplantae, Streptophyta, Magnoliopsida, Poales, Poaceae.